UUCCUGCUUUGGUAGGACAUAUUCAACAAUUGGAAUGAUGCAGCAUGACCCCUGCUCAAGAAUGACAUGCCAGUUUGUGAGGCAUGCUGAAUUUGC
Molecule: small nuclear RNA, 96 nt
Organism: Vulpes vulpes (red fox)
Lineage: Eukaryota; Metazoa; Chordata; Mammalia; Carnivora; Canidae
Source: Ensembl